UCCAAUUCAACUUUUGAUUUACUACACUAAGCACGAACACCCCUGUUCAGACUGACCAUGCGGGUUGAAGUAUCCAUCUGGGAUCCCCUUACAGCUGAACUAGUCUGAUAAGCAGUCCUCCCAUAUGCAGCAUCUUGAUACCGAGUGCUCUGGUAGCCCCCUGAAUAGCCUCCUGUUCCUCGUGACUGACCACCUCUGUCCCUUGAAAAGGUGCCUGCAGAAGAGCCAGGACCUAAUGGCCUCCCACCCACACCAUAUCCAGUGCGCACACCACCUUGCCUUCCCUGACUGAAAGAAAAGUUGUCCUGCCAUUUACCACCAACAGAAGCUGCACCAGC
This 338-nucleotide long non-coding RNA is filed under the name Vitis vinifera (wine grape). RNAcentral's name for it is "long non-coding RNA (VVIN_LNC002669)". The record is from RNAcentral. Lineage: Eukaryota; Viridiplantae; Streptophyta; Magnoliopsida; Vitales; Vitaceae.